Molecule: non-coding RNA, 3360 nt
Organism: Heterocephalus glaber (naked mole-rat)
Lineage: Eukaryota; Metazoa; Chordata; Mammalia; Rodentia; Bathyergidae
Source: RefSeq, a predicted model, not a curated record
GCGGGGUGACGGGCUGUGGCAGACAAUACUUCCCACGUCCCCACGCAGGCAGGCUCUGAGGGGAACUAGGGGGUGCCUGAGACAGGCUGGUCCCAGCUCCUGGGCCCUUGUGCUUCUCACAGGGGGGUGGGGCAUCUGUCUGGGGCACCCACAGAUCCCUAAACUCCAGGAAGGCUUGGGUGCCCUGGAUUUCCUGGGAGGGGCCCCCGGUAGACUUUGGCAGGGUUGGUGGACAACGAGGACCGGCAGGUUUGAGGCUGGCUCCCCACAGGGAUCUCGCCUGUCCCUCCCCUUCUGAUCCCCGCCCCCAGUCCUGAAACCAUCCCCAUCAUCACCCCUCUCAGAAUGGAGGGCUCUCGGGUGUGUGCUGGUCCAAGUCCUCAACUGACAUGGGGUGGGCACAUGCACCCCAUGCCGUGCAUGUGCGCACACAACACACACACACACCCACACCCCAGACUAAAAGCCAGGCCCUCCGUGGCUCGCCUGGCUCAGCCUGGCUCUUAGGAACCUGCCCACAUUCUCUGCAGGUGACUUGGCAGUGCAGCCGGAAAGUUCCGGGUUCUCAGGGAAGGCCCAGCCCUGCCUGGCAUCUUUACACUGGGCUGUUACCCUGUGGCCAUGGGCCUGGGAGGGGCCUGGCUCUGGGAGAGGCUAUGAGGUGGCCAGCAGAGGCAGGACAGCCUCCUGCCCAGAACCUAAGCCCAGUGCAGGGAGCUAUCCAAUAGCCAGGGUCCACACCCCUGGUAGUCACCACUGGAACACAAGGGGACCCAAGCUAAGGGACCAUACCCUCCCACGCUGCCCGGAAGGCCAUCUGCUGCAGGAGGCCGAGCCCCUUCUCACAAGGCCUGCAUCCUAGGACCUACCUGCCUUCCAGGCAGCCCACGAGGUCAGUGUCCCCUGGGGGACUGAGAUCCUCUCCCCUGAAGGGAUGCAUCACAGCCAAGGCCCCUGUGGCCAACAGAGGCCCAGGGAGCGGCUCAUACAGCAGGGUCUCCAUGAGCAGGUCCCUGGUGACGGGUCUUGCUUCCGACAUCUCUGGAGGACAGAAACAGAGCCUCAGUGUCACUGGACAGCUGCAGCUCAGGACAGGACACUUCUAGACAGGGCCUCACUGAAGUCACUAAAUUAUCCAAGCUGCGCUUGAAUUUGUGAUCCUUCUGCCUCUGCCUCCCACAGGUGGGUGCCACCAAGCCCAGCUUUUUCUUUUUCUUUUGGUACGGGGACCGAACUGAGGACCUUGUGCUCGCAAGGCAGGUGUGGCUCCACUGAGCUAAAUCCUCAGCCCAAGCCCAGCUUUUUCUUACAGGAGCGUGGGCUGGGACCCUCCUAGUGGUGAGGACCAGUGUCAGACCUUCCUGCCCCUGCAGGACUCCCUCCCUGACCCCUGACCCCCUGCCCUCCCUUUCAAUUGGCCAGAGCCGUCAUCCGGGCUGUGUGUCGUAGGGUGAGUCACCAAGCCUCUCUGUUCGACUCGUCCAUGUCUCAAGCGGGCACCUGAUGCACCAGGGCCCUCGAAUUUUUCCUUUGUGUGAAAUAAAAUCAGAGCAGCCAAACUGAGAAGCCCAGGUAUCUGCUGUCAGCAGAGGGGGCAAAAGCCAGCUCCCCAACCCCGGGAACAGCAAUACCUCAGCAUCAUGGAAAACAACACCUGUUUUGAUGUCUGUUAUUUCUUUGGAGCAAAAAAGGCAAAUAAGCAAAAUGGGAAGAGUCAUCCACAGCCCCAGCUCCCAGAGGGACCUGCUCAGCCUCUCCUCUGCACACAUCGCAGCUGCAUCUUCCAGGUCAGGCAUCCCCAAGACAUUCCUGGGGCCCUGCUAGCACAGCCCCUGUUCUUCCCGGGACCCUGCACGUGCACUGACCUGAGCUGAUCUCCACCUUCCUGUCCCCCAUCUGCCAGCAACCCUUGCAGCUCCCUGUUGGCCCCGUGACCCCACUUGGACAGUGAAGCCUCAGAAGCGGAGGUAGGGGCUGAAGGAAAGGGAGCAAGGCACCCAGGCCAGCUCAUCCUCCUUGCUGCCAUGAACACAGAAGUGAUGGCUGGAGCUGCAGCAGCCAGCUAAGGGUGCAGUCAGUGAAGUAAGGAAAGCCUGGGCCUGAUGGCACUGCUCAGCAGGAAAUCACUAAAUUACCCAGCCCAGGUUUAAAACUUGGGAACCUCUUGCCUCAGCCUCUGAGAGUUCUGAGACUACAGGUGUUCAUGACCACACUCAGCCCAACCCAUUAAGUUCUUAGUUACAUCCUGGAUCUUUUAAGUGAAUUCCUCCCAUCUGCCUACACUAGAGAUCCCAGAGAGCUCUCUACCCAAUGAUGUCCUUUGAUUUUUCUGUACAAAGAGCCCCUGGGGCAUGAAGACGCCCACCAUGAAGCCAAGAAGGAACAGAGGUCCACGCAUUCCCCACCCCAGACCAGAGUGGCCCGAUGUCCACCCCUGAAGUGGCUGCAGAAGCAAGGCCCAGGAAAGGGACCCAGGCUGGGACGCACACUCCCCCAGGUGACCUGGAGCUGACUCCAGGCAGUGCUGGGGAUGGAACCCAAGGCCCUGUGCAUGCUGGGCAAGGGCUCACCACUGAGCCGAAGCCACCUCUCGCCCCAGCACUUGGCACCGGUUUAAAAAAGCAGGAAGAUCGAGAUUGAGCUCCAAUGCAGAGGUGUCCAGCUGCACUUGGGACAGCUCGGGGACGAGAGGAGCCCCUGACGCUCAAACCCCCUUCCCACACCCAACUUGGCCUUCAGGGAGCCCGUGACACCAGACAGCAGCCACGAGGACCCUUUGGGCCACCAUACCACCUUCGGCCAGCAGUCCGGGCCCUCCGUCCCUUCUGCUGCCCUGUUGCUUGACAAGAAGGCUGGGAGAGGAGGGAGGGGACUCAGGAGCCAUUCUGUCUCUGGUCUCAUCUGCCACUUCAAGACACCAGCAUGAGGAGAAAUGCUCAAAAGUAAAGGAAAAGGGCUACCUACUCGGGACCCCUCCUGCCCUUCAGGGGCUUUCCUAUCAAUAAAUAUCUUCCUACUUAAAAAAAAAAAAGGAAAGGAAAAGAAUGAAAACCACAGCAAGCAGCCACCCUUCACCCAAACAGUGCAACAGAUACAAACGUUUAUGUAAAAAAAACUAAAGCGAACAUAAAAAGAACUAAAAUGUGUUAUACACAUGUACCAACUCCUCACCAUGACUGUAGUCAUUAUCUACUGCUAACGUGUACUAAUAAAAAAAAUUUUUUUAAGGGCCCGGGAUUUAGCUCAGCACCAGGCCUGUCUUGAAAGCGCAACGUCCCAAGUUUGAUCCCCAGUACCAGAAAAAAAUUUUUAAAUGGGGCCCAGGCAUAAUGGUGUACUCCUGUAAUCCUGGUUAUUUGG